GACGAACGCUGGCGGCGUGCCUAAUACAUGCAAGUAGAACGCACAGUUUAUACCGUAGCUUGCUACACCAUAGACUGUGAGUUGCGAACGGGUGAGUAACGCGUAGGUAACCUGCCUGGUAGCGGGGGAUAACUAUUGGAAACGAUAGCUGAUACCGCAUAAUAUUAAUUAUUGCAUGAUAAUUAAUUGAAAGGUGCAAUUGCACCACUACCAGAUGGACCUGCGUUGUAUUAGCUAGUAGGUGAGGUAACGGCUCACCUAGGCGACGAUACAUAGCCGACCUGAGAGGGUGAUCGGCCACACUGGGACUGAGACACGGCCCAGACUCCUACGGGAGGCAGCAGUAGGGAAUCUUCGGCAAUAGACGAAAGUCUGACCGAGCAACGCCGCGUGAGUGAAGAAGGUUUUCGGAUCGUAAAGCUCUGUUGUAAGAGAAGAACGGGUGUGAGAGUGGAAAGUUCACACUGUGACGGUAUCUUACCAGAAAGGGACGGCUAACUACGUG
This 505-nucleotide ribosomal RNA is filed under the name uncultured bacterium. RNAcentral's name for it is "partial 16S ribosomal RNA". It matches the Rfam family "Bacterial small subunit ribosomal RNA", at positions 28 to 507 of the family's 1533-position model. The record is from RNAcentral.